This 2767-nucleotide long non-coding RNA is filed under the name Homo sapiens (human). Its description in RNAcentral is "HSALNT0121012". The record is from RNAcentral. Lineage: Eukaryota; Metazoa; Chordata; Mammalia; Primates; Hominidae.
GGAUGACAUUGCAGAUUUCCACAUACAAUGCAGGCGACUCUGAUGCUUUUACAGGUGAAUUUUCCAAAUGGGGAUAGCAAAUGUGCCAGGGACAGCAUCCCUGAAGCACAUGAGGAUAUAUAACUGCUCAGUAAUUGCAGUUUUCAUUUGAGUAAAUUAAAUAGCGAUGAAAACAAAAGCCAUGUCCUAUUUCUGCAGUGUCUCAGAAAUCUAGGCUCAGGCUGGUGGCAGAGGUUGGAGGCUGUCAGAGAGCUAAGAGGCCUCCUGGGGACAUGGCACUUGGCCUCCUUGCCUCCCCCAAUUGCCUCCCAUUUCACUUUUCUUUUCUCCUCCCCUAAAACCUCAGGGGGGAUCUUAACAAAGGGAAAAGACUCCCAACAGACCAUGUUUCUCUGCAGGGGUGGCCAUGCUGACUUUCGACAAGCCUUCAUUCUAAUGUGGCUGCUCAUCUGCUCUGAGGACAUCACAUCUACUGGAGCUAGAAACAAAUGAAAAUAGCGUGGAAAAGCUGCCAUCACAAGACAGGUCAUCACAAGACUGCUGUUUGCUCUUUCCACUGUUCAUUGCAUCCUCUUCAGGGUCAAGAAGAAGUCACCUGCCAAGGGAACAGUAGGAGAUGGAGAUGCAUUGUAUUGGUGGAGCUGUGAAGGUGGAGGUGCCUGGUACACCUUGACACAGUGACCUUGGAAGACAAGUAGCCUGGUCUCUUUUGCAUAUUGUGUUCUGAGUUCCAGAUUCAAGUACUUCCAACUGCUUCCUUGUCAUCUCCACUUGGUGAUGGAAUGAGCAGUCCAAACUUUCAUAUACUCAAUGAUAAACUCUUGACACUGUUUGGGUUUUAAGUUUAUUUUUGGAAGGGGACCCAGGGAACAAUAGUGAGGGACUAGGAAGAGUAAAAUGGAAAGAGGAAAAUCCAUUCCAAGGAACUAUGGUAGAGCUGGUUACUGCUGUGGAUACCUGGGGGCUUAGUUCCAAUGGGUGUUCUUUUAAAAGAUACACACGUUGAGCCUCAGAAUUAUCCACCUGCUCUAAACCCUCAUUGGUCAAAAACUGCCCCUGAGGUGUUAACUUCCUUGGUCUUCCAGGCUUACACAGGGACCUGAAUGGCUGAGUGAGCUUCUGGAAGAGUCCCAUGGAAAGGCUAAGAAACUCUGGGGCAAAAGGCAAGAAAUGCAAGGUGCAGCUGAGGCCACGGUGCUGCCAGGCUUCACCCACUGCAGCUUGUUGCCACAGCAACUGCUGGAACAAAAAGGUGGGUGGUGAGGAUGUGAGAGGGUGCAAUACCUGGGAGUCAUCCUUGACUCUGCACUUUCUCUUUACCACUCAUCAGUAACUUCUAUUGACUCUGCUGAUAGGUCUCCCACUUCAUCCUUGUUUCCCUUCUCUUUCCCCCACUACACAUCCAUGCAUAUGCACAUGCAGCAGCUAGACUAAACCUUUAAAAACUCAUGUUUUUUCUCCUCUCAAACCCCAAUGGCCACUCAUCUCACUCAGAAUAAAAUCUAAAAUCCUGUCCAGGAUCUAGAAAACUUGCAUGUUUUGGACCUUUGCUCCCUUUUUGCUAUGGUUUCAAUGUCUUUGCCUCCUCCAAGAUUCAUGUUGAAACUUAAUCCCCAAGACAACAGUAUUAAGUGAUGUGGCCUUUAGGAAGUGAUUCGGCCAUAAGGGCUCCAACCUCAUGAAUGUAUUUGUGCCCCAUGAAAGGGCAUUGAGGGGGUGAGUUUGCCCCUUCUGUCUCUUUUCGCAUGUGAGGACAUAGCAUUCAUGCUUCCAGAGGAUGCAGUGUUCAAGGUACCAUCCUGGAGGCAGAGACUGGGUCCUCAGCAAACAUCGAACUGCUGAUGCCUUGAUCUUGGACUUUCCAGCCUCCAGAGCUGUGAGAAGUAAAUAUUUGUUAUUUAUAAAUUACCCAGGCUCAGCUCUGUUAUAGUAACACAAGCAGAGUUUCUGAUCUCAUCUUAUGCUUCUUUUCCUCUCUCUCUCUCUUCUCCAGCAACUCUGGCCUCUUUGCUGUCUUCAGAUUGCCAGGCAUAUUUCAAGAUCUUUGCAUUUGCUAUUCCCUCUUCCCAGAAUGUGAUUCCUUCAGAUAGUCAUAUGGUUCAGCCCCUCAUCUCAUUCAAGUCUCUGCCAGAUCUCACCUCAUCUAGAAGUUCUUUUCCGAUCAUCGUAUCUAAAAUAGUACAUUUUCAUCCAUCCAUCCAUUUCCUUUCCCUUAUUUCUCUUCCUAUCUAAAAUAUUAUAGAUGUAUUCGUUUGCUUUUGUCCUCUUUUCUCUCAUCUGAAUGUUAGUUUGCGACAGCGGGGGUUUUGUUUACUGACAUAUCUCCAGCGCCUAGAAUAGUGCUUAGCAUACAGGGCAAGACUCUACUCAACAAGAAUCUGCCAGAGGGCAGGGUCACACAUCAAUCUAAUCAGAUACUCUUUUGUGAAUACACAGAGAAGAUGUCAGUGGAAGAGCAGAUGGUCCCAGAGCUUGGCGUGUAUCCUGAAGGAUUCUGUGCUCUUGAUCUUGUCCUCCAUUCUUCACAUUUUGCAGUGCAGGGGCCAAGAUGUCAGCAUGGCUAAGAAGAUGGCAGUCAUGGCCACCUCAAGUCCAGCAUCCCUGCCUACUCUUGGUGGUAUCAGCGAGGUUCCUGCAGCCAGGGCCAAGAACAUGGGAUUCAGAGAAAACUGCCUUUAUACUCCAGGAUGUCUGUUAACAUUGAGUGUGACCUUGAACAAGUUGCUUAAUCUUUUUGAACCCCUGUUUCAUUGACUAUAAAAUGAAG